UUUUUUUGGACAUUGGGAGUUGCUGGCUACUUGAUUAAAAGUGGUGGGCUCUUCUGAAAAGCAUUAGUUGGAGGAGCUUUGCACUCUUAUUGGUGUGAUAGACUAUCUAUGCCAUGAGAUGCUUUAUGAUCCUCUGCUGUCUAACUGUCUUUAUCAAGACAAUAUGAUAAACUUGACCUCAAAUCAGGUAGGACUACCCGCUGAACUUAAGCAUAUCAAUAAGCGGAGGAAAAGAAACUAACAAGGAUUCCCUUAGUAACUGCGAGUGAAGAGGGAAAAGCUCAAAUUUAAAAUCUGGCAGUGCUUCACUGUCCGAGUUGUAACCUAGAGAAGUGUAACCUGUGCUGGACCGUGUAUAAGUCUCCUGGAAUGGAGCGUCACAGAGGGUGAGAAUCCCGUCUUUGACAUGGACUACCAGUGCAUUGUGGUUGCGCUCUCAACGAGUCGAGUUGUUUGGGAAUGCAGCUCUAAAUGGGUGGUAAAUUCCAUCUAAAGCUAAAUAUUGGCGAGAGACCGAUAGCGAACAAGUACCGUGAGGGAAAGAUGAAAAGAACUUUGGAAAGAGAGUUAAACAGUAUGUGAAAUUGUUGAAAGGGAAACGUUUGAAGUCAGUCGCGUUGGUUGGGGAUCAGCCUGACAUUGUUGGGUGUACUUCCCGGUUGACGGGCCAACAUCAGUUUUGACUGCCAGAGAAAGGCCAAAGGAAUGUGGCACCUUUGGGUGUGUUAUAGCCUUUGGUUGUAUAUGGUGGUUGGGACUGAGGAAAGCAGCGUGCCGAAAGGCCGGGUUUUUAACCACGUUCACGCUGAGGA
Molecule: ribosomal RNA, 812 nt
Filed under: uncultured Amanita
Lineage: Eukaryota; Fungi; Basidiomycota; Agaricomycetes; Agaricales; Amanitaceae
Description: eukaryotic LSU rRNA
Rfam family: Eukaryotic large subunit ribosomal RNA (bases 174-812)
Source: RNAcentral